AUUGAACGCUGGCGGCAGGCCUAACACAUGCAAGUCGAACGGUAACAGAAAGCAGCUUGCUGCUUUGCUGACGAGUGGCGGACGGGUGAGUAAUGUCUGGGAAACUGCCUGAUGGAGGGGGAUAACUACUGGAAGCGGUAGCUAAUACCGCAUAACGUCGCAAGACCAAAGAGGGGGACCUUCGGGCCUCUUGCCAUCGGAUGUGCCCAGAUGGGAUUAGCUAGUAGGUGGGGUAAAGGCUCACCUAGGCGACGAUCCCUAGCUGGUCUGAGAGGAUGACCAGCCACACUGGAACUGAGACACGGUCCAGACUCCUACGGGAGGCAGCAGUGGGGAAUAUUGCACAAUGGGCGCAAGCCUGAUGCAGCCAUGCCGCGUGUAUGAAGAAGGCCUUCGGGUUGUAAAGUACUUUCAGCGGGGAGGAAGGGAGUAAAGUUAAUACCUUUGCUCAUUGACGUUACCCGCAGAAGAAGCACCGGCUAACUCCGUG
Molecule: ribosomal RNA, 490 nt
Filed under: uncultured bacterium
Lineage: Bacteria
Description: partial 16S ribosomal RNA
Rfam family: Bacterial small subunit ribosomal RNA
Source: RNAcentral